RNAcentral lists this ribosomal RNA (438 nucleotides) under uncultured bacterium. RNAcentral's name for it is "bacterial SSU rRNA". It matches the Rfam family "Bacterial small subunit ribosomal RNA", at positions 30 to 464 of the family's 1533-position model. The record is from RNAcentral.
AUUGAACGCUGGCGGUAUGCUUAACACAUGCAAGUCGAACGGAAACGAUACUAGCUUGCUAGUAGGCGUCGAGUGGCGGACGGGUGAGUAACGCGUAGGAAUCUGCCUGAUAGUGGGGGAUAGCCCGGAGAAAUUCGGAUUAAUACGGCAUAAUCUAUUCGUAGUAAAGUGGGGGACUUUCGAGCCUCACGAAAUCAGAUGAGCCUGCGUAAGAUUAGCUUGUUGGUAGGGUAAAAGCCUACCAAGGCGACGAUCUUUAGCUGGUCUGAGAGGAUGAUCAGCCACAUCGGGACUGAGACACGGCCCGAACUCCUACGGGAGGCAGCAGUGGGGAAUAUUGGACAAUGGGGGCAACCCUGAUCCAGCAAUACCGCGUGUGUGAAGAAGGCCUGAGGGUUGUAAAGCACUUUCAAUUGUGAAGAAAAGUUAACGGUUAAU